AUUAUGUCGGGCGUGUGAUGGUGCGUUUCCAAUGAAAAUUGAGAAUCUAUUAGAGAGCAUGUUCUAACUUAUUUAUUUUUCUUCUGGCAUGUAAAUCUGCUCGAGUUCCCUACGAACUCCCCCUCUUUGCAUCUCGAGAAAGCCAUGAAGGCUCAAAAAUUCUUAUCGAGUCAAUCCGCCAAAAUGGGCAAAAUGUAGAAAGUCAAGUGUCGUAAAUAUUGAAGA
This 225-nucleotide unclassified non-coding RNA is filed under the name Hevea brasiliensis (rubber tree). The record is from RNAcentral. Lineage: Eukaryota; Viridiplantae; Streptophyta; Magnoliopsida; Malpighiales; Euphorbiaceae.